GACACUCUUGAGCUUUAGCAAUGCUUCCAUAAAACUGAACCAUGCAACAUAAUAUGGCACAAGGCUUUAGUUCUUCUCAUUUUUCAGCUUGCUUCUCUUCAUUGUUAGAUUGCUUAUAUUGGAAGAAAACUAUAUCAAGGAAAAGAAAGCGUAUAAUGAUAAGUUAGAGUUGGAAGUAGCCGUUUAGGAAUGUUUUAGUAAUUGACAAAAUGAGAGAAUGAGCAAUAUUUUUUUGUAACCAAUUCCUUACUACAGUAAAUUAUAGUUAUCUAUAAUUUAUGGAGUUUGGAUCCUUGGAAGGUCCUCUUCCAUCAAAGCUCUUUAGCAUUCCUCAAAUUCAUCAAGUGAAACUGAGGAACAAUGCAUUGAACAAUACAUUAGACUUAGGAGACAACAUUUGUCCACAAUUGCAGCUUGUUGAUCUUCAAGACAACCAGAUUUCCUCAGUAAUCCUCCGUUCGCAAUACAAACACACGUUGAUGUAAUUAUCUGUCUUAUAGGAAAUCCAGUGUGCGGUGUUCUCUCAAACACAAACUACUACCAACUUCAGUAGCAGCCUAAGCAACCUUACUCGACAAGCUUGGCGAAUUGCGGAGAAAAAUCUUGUCCGCCGGAUCAAAAGCUUAGCCCUCAGAGCUGUGAAUGUGCAUACCCUUAUGAAGGGAUGUUGUACUUCAGAGGACCCUUGUUUAGAGAACUCUCAAAUGUUAACAUUUUCUAUGAACUUGAGAUGAGUUUGUGGUGAAGUUGGACCUAACACCUAGCUCAGUUUCUUUACAAAACCCUUUCUUCAAUGGUGAUGAUUUAUAUUCAAGUGCAACUAGCUUUGUUUCCUCUUUCAGGACAAUAUUUCAAUAGGACUGAAGUUCAAAGAAUUGGGUUUGAUUUGACCAACCAAAUUUACAAGCCUCCUAAGGAGUUUGGACCUUAUUACUUCAUUGCAUUCCCUUAUGCUU
Molecule: long non-coding RNA, 956 nt
Organism: Arachis stenosperma
Lineage: Eukaryota; Viridiplantae; Streptophyta; Magnoliopsida; Fabales; Fabaceae
Exons: 3
Source: RefSeq, a predicted model, not a curated record